UGAAAGAUGACAAUUGCUAUAUAUGUAGGCAUCGAACUUGAUAUCAUGUGAAUUGGAGAGCUAAUGUCAUCAAGCGGCAUUGAGCUCAGGACUUGUGUGAACCUAGUGGAUAGGGCCAUUGAGGGAUUUGGAAAACAUGUUGAACAUCAAAUUGCCUAAGUGUCAUCAAGGGGCACUAGGCGUAGCAAAUGUUGAAACUUCACAUUGUGACUUAGACUAGAUCUUCGGGAUGCUAGUUAUGAUACCAUGUUAGAGACAUGAGGAUUGGAUAUUUGAGACUUGGAC
This 285-nucleotide long non-coding RNA is filed under the name Ananas comosus (pineapple). RNAcentral's name for it is "long non-coding RNA (ACOM_LNC035315)". Lineage: Eukaryota; Viridiplantae; Streptophyta; Magnoliopsida; Poales; Bromeliaceae. The record is from RNAcentral.